GGAACGGCAGUGAUCACACGUCGGCUGCUGGGAAGAUCUGGAUUCUCGUUUCAGGUCACCAUCAGAAAAGCUAAGUUUGCUGUAUAGUGAGGAUCAGGAGAUCUGAUCCUGAUUGCAGAACCUUCCCUGAUUACAGAAUCUUCGAUGAUUUCACAAAAGUUCAUCUUCAUUGCAGAUACCUGCCUUUCUUUCUAGGUUGUAUCUCCCACUUCACCCUUCUAGACCAUCCCAGAAGAUCUAUAAGAUUUCAUCUGGGAAAUCACUAGGAGUUCUUGGAAGGGAAAGAAGGAAGAUUGUUGGUUGGAAUAAAAACAGGGUUGAAUGAGUUCCAGAAAGCAGGGUUCUCAACCUCGUGGACAGCAAUCUGCAG
Molecule: small RNA, 370 nt
Filed under: Pan troglodytes (chimpanzee)
Lineage: Eukaryota; Metazoa; Chordata; Mammalia; Primates; Hominidae
Description: processed transcript
Source: RNAcentral